CACAGAAUGGCAGCUAUGCAGAACGGCAGGACAAAGGACAGCCAUGUUGCAGUGGUGCCUGAAGUGGUCCAGCAACACUUUGUGAAGAUGGGGGUUUCAAAACUUGGCCUUGAGGGCAGAAGAGGCAGCCCCUCCCCCAGACGCAAAGUGCCCAUUGUAUUUGUUACUGAGCAGCACUGAGAUCGUGCCAGGCAUGGUGUAUGCACUCACCCCACUGAACUCUAACAAGC
Molecule: long non-coding RNA, 230 nt
Filed under: Homo sapiens (human)
Lineage: Eukaryota; Metazoa; Chordata; Mammalia; Primates; Hominidae
Description: HSALNT0096119
Source: RNAcentral